UCCCUGGUGGCUCAGAUGGUAAAGCGUCUGUCUACAAUGCAGGAGACCCAGGUUUGAGGCCUGGAUUGGGAA
This 72-nucleotide transfer RNA is filed under the name Bos taurus (domestic cattle). It matches the Rfam family "tRNA". From Rfam's summary of the family: Transfer RNA (tRNA) molecules are approximately 80 nucleotides in length. Their secondary structure includes four short double-helical elements and three loops (D, anti-codon, and T loops). Further hydrogen bonds mediate the characteristic L-shaped molecular structure. tRNAs have two regions of fundamental functional importance: the anti-codon, which is responsible for specific mRNA codon recognition, and the 3' end, to which the tRNAs corresponding amino acid is attached (by aminoacyl-tRNA synthetases). tRNAs cope with the degeneracy of the genetic code in two manners: having more than one tRNA (with a specific anti-codon) for a particular amino acid; and 'wobble' base-pairing, i.e. permitting non-standard base-pairing at the 3rd anti-codon position. The record is from Rfam by way of RNAcentral. Lineage: Eukaryota; Metazoa; Chordata; Mammalia; Artiodactyla; Bovidae. RNAcentral also lists the same sequence under 3 other names.